AAUCCAAUGCAAAUCCCGAACCUCCAUUAUGAAUUAUUAUUUUUGAUCAAAGAAGGGCUUCCCCCUUCCGAUUUUCAUUACUGAAAACUCACUGUAGAACCAUUAAGAUGAAUGGACGGGUACUCCUUUCAUGGUUUACGGCAAUCAGAAAUGAAAAUAAUAAGAAAGAUAAAAUCAGUAGCAACCGACCGACAAGUGUGUCCGUGGGCAACCAAUCGAGACCGCAUUUGACCGACCCUCACCGUCAGGGCAGUAUAUUCCAACAACCUGCAAGAUUUCAUACUCGCCUGUUAUAAAAAAAAAAGCAGAUUUCAUACUCACAUCCAGGGAACAUAAAUGUUAUCACAGAGGAUCGAUAACCAACCCUACCUAGAUAACGCCUGGAUCAUGUCGUGCUCAGGCCAGAGAUGCGUCAUCCAUACUCUGUUCUGUUGCCAUCAAAAAUAGCUGAUGUUAGACCUGCCUCAACCUCUAACCGACAGUAAAUUAUCAGAUCAAUGUAGGUCAUCGGAAAUAUAAGAGACAACUAACACGGUACAAACACUUUGUAAGCACACAAGGCUUUCCACCCAUUUUCCCGUUCAAUUGCUUAUUAAUUUUUGCGCCUCUAUGGUGAGCACGUGAUAAUGGAAAACUAGCCUUCAUAAGGCACACAGUAAGACAUGACCUUACAUAUAGCUUGUUAAAGCUUAAAUCGGAUAACAGAGAGACGAGAGACCGUUGGCGCAACAUACUACUGUACCAAGGAAAUAUCUAAAGUCCCUUUGGUCCACAUAGCUCCACCUGAGUCCAUAUAUGCAAAGCAGUAUAUCCGGAGCUAGAUCAAACACAAGCUCACAUGUCCAUCUCGACUUUACAACAACAACAACAACAAAGCCUUUAGUCCCAAACAAGUUGGGGUAGGCUAGAGGUGAAACCCAUAAGAUCUCGCAACCAACUCAUGGCUCUGGCACAUGGAUAGCAAGCUUCCACGCACCCCUGUCCAUAGCUAGCUCUUUGUCGAUACUCCAAUCCUUCAGGUCUCUCUUAAUGGACUCCUUCCAUGUCAAAAUCGGUCGACCCCGCCCUCUCUUGACAUUCUCCGCACGCUUUAGCCGUCCGCUAUGCACUGGAGCUUCUGGAGGCCUGCGCUGAAUAUGCCCAAACCAUCUCAAACGAUGUUGGACAAGCUUCUCCUCAAUUGGUGCUACCCCAACUAUAUCUCGUAUAUCAUCAUUCCGGACUCGAUCCUUCCUCGUGUGGCCACACAUCCAUCUCAACAUACGCAUCUCCGCCACACCUAACUGUUGAACAUGUCGCCUUUUAGUCGGCCAACACUCCGCGCCAUACAACAUUGCGGGUCGAACCGCCGUCCUGUAGAACUUGUCUUUUAGCUUUUGUGGCACUCUCUUGUCACAGAGAAUGCCAGAAGCUUGGCGCCACUUCAUCCAUCCGGCUUUGAUUCGAUGGUUCACAUCUUCAUCAAUACCCCCAUCCUCCUGCAAGAUUGACCCCAAAUACCGAAAGGUGUCCUUCCGAGGUACCACCUGGCCAUCAAGGCUAACCUCCUCCUCCUCACAGCUAGUAGUACUGAAACCGCACAUCAUGUACUCGGUUUUAGUUCUACUAAGCCUAAACCCUUUCGAUUCCAAGGUUUGUCUCCAUAACUCUAACUUCCUAUUUACCCCCGUCCGACUAUCGUCAACUAGCACCACAUCAUCCGCAAAGAGCAUACACCAUGGGAUAUCUCCUUGUAUACCCCUUGUGACCUCAUCCAUCACCAAUGCAAAAAGAUAAGGGCUCAAAGCUGACCCCUGAUGCAGUCCUAUCUUAAUCGGGAAGUCAUCGGUGUCGACAUCACUUGUUCGAACACUUGUCACAACAUUAUUGUACAUGUCCUUGAUGAGGGUAAUGUACUUUGCUGGGACUUUGUGUUUCUCCAAGGCCCACCACAUGACAUUCCGCGGUAUCUUAUCAUAGGCCUUCUCCAAGUCAAUGAACACCAUAUGCAAGUCCUUCUUAUGCUCCCUAUAUCUCUCCAUAAGUUGUCGUAUCAAGAAAAUGGCUUCCAUGGUCGACCUCCCAGGCAUGAAACCAAACUGAUUUUUGGUCACGCUUGUCAUUCUUCUUAAGCGGUGCUCAAUGACUCUCUCCCAUAGCUUCAUUGUAUGGCUCAUCAGCUUAAUUCCACGGUAAUUAGUACAACUCUGAACAUCCCCCUUGUUCUUGAAGAUUGGUACUAAUAUACUCCGUCUCCAUUCUUCUGGCAUCUUGUUUGCCCGAAAAAUGAGGUUGAAAAGCUUGGUUAGCCAUACUAUCGCUAUGUCCCCGAGACCUUUCCACACCUCAAUGGGGAUACAAUCAGGGCCCAUCGCCUUGCCUCCUUUCAUCCUUUUUAAAGCCUCCUUCACCUCAGACUCCUGGAUGCGCCGCACAAAACGCAUGCUGGUCUCAUCAAAGGAGUCAUUCAGUUCAAUGGUAGAACUCUCAUUCUCCCCAUUGAACAGCUUGUCGAAGUACUCCCGCCAUCUAUGCUUAAUCUCUUCGUCCUUCACCAAGAGUUGGCCUGCUCCGUCCUUGAUGCAUUUGACUUGGCCAAUAUCCCUCGUCUUCCUCUCCCGGAUCUUAGCCAUCUUAUAGAUGUCCCUUUCACCUUCCUUCGUGCCUAACCGUUGGUAGAGGUCCUCAUAUGCCGACCCCUUGCUUCACCAACAGCUCGCUUUGCGGCCUUCUUCGCCAUCUUGUACUUCUCUAUGUUGUCUGCACUCCUAUCCAGGUAUAGGCGUCUGAAGCAAUCUUUCUUCUCUUUAAGCGCCUUCUGGACAUCAUCAUUCCACCACCAGGUAUCCUUAUCUUCGCUUCUCCUUCCCCUGGACACUCCAAACUCCUCCGAGGCCACCUUACGAAUGCAAGUCGCCAUCUUCAUCCACAUAUUGUCCGCAUCCCCUCCUUCCUCCCAAGGGCCCUCCUUAAAUACCCUCUCCUUGAACACCUGAGCUACCUCCCCCUUGAGCUUCCACCACUUCGUUCUAGCGACCUUGGCACGCUUAUCCCGCUAGACACAAAUCCGACAGCGGAAGUCAACAACCACCAGCUUAUGCUGGGGUACAACACUCUCCCCAGGUAUCACCUUACAGUCUAGGCACGCACGCCUAUCUUCUCUUCUCGAGAGGAUGAAAUCAAUCUGGCUAGAGUGUUGGCCACUACUAAAAGUCACCAGAUGUGAUUCUCUCUUUCUAAAGAGGGUGUUAGCUACAAUCAUGUUGUAGGCUAGAGCAAAGCUUAAGACAUCUUCUCCUUCUUGAUUCCUGAUGCCAUAGCCAAAGCCCCCAUGCGCCCCUUCAAAACCUGUGUUAGAUGUACCCACGUGGCCAUUGAGGUCUCCUCCUAUGAAGAGCUUCUCACCAAUCGGUACACUCCUAACCAUGUCUUCCAAGCCUUCCCAGAACUCCCUCUUGGUGUUCUCAUUGUGGCCUACUUGCGGGGCAUAUGCGCUGAUAACAUUGAGAACCAAGUCCUCAGCUACCAGCUUGACCAGGAUAAUCCGGUCCCCACGUCUCCUGACGUCUACCACUCCAUACUUGAGGCUCUUGUUGAUCAAGAUGCCUACGCCAUUUCUAUUUGCAGUCGUCCCCGUGUACCACAGCUUGAAGCCGGUAUCCUCCACCUCCUUCGCCUUCUGUCCUCUCCAUUUGGUUUCUUGGACGCAAAGGAUAUCAACACCUCUCCUCACUGUUGCAUCAACUAACUCCCGAAGCUUCCCUGUCAGAGACCCUACGUUCCAGCUACCUAAGCGAAUCCUCCUAGGCUCGGCUAGCUUCCUUACCCUUCGCACUCGUCGAGUCAAAUGCGAAGACCCUUGCUCAUUUUCCACUACAUCCGGGCGCCGAUGUAGCGCGCCACUAAGGAUGCGACGACCCGAUCCUCGCUCACUUGCCACCGUAUCCGGAUCAAGAUACGGCGCGCCACUUGGGGGGUGAUGGCCCGGCCCUUGCCCAUUUUCCACCACACCCGGGUUCCGAUGUGGCGCGUCGCUGAGAGGGUUACGCCCCAACGAAAAUCUUUUGGGUUUCAUCUCCAUAAGAGUGGCUGAGUUUUUACGUUGGCUCGCCAAGCCUAUCACAACCCUCCUCCUUUACCCGGGCUUGGGACCGGCUAUGUUGAGACAACAUAGGCGGAGUUUGAAAAAGGGCAACCUGGUGCAUGUAGCUCCCGCUUGCGCAGGGUCCAGGGAAGGGUCCGACCACUUCGACUUUGGGUAAAGGAAAUGCGAUGCGUUCUGGCUUUGCUUACAUUCUUUCCUUUAAGACAGAGAUUCUUGUUCCUGGUGAUAUGGACCUAAAAGGGCUAUGUCACCAGCAACUCUUAAAUGUUCUUCGAGUAAAGUUAAGGGGAAUUUGCCAAAAAGGACAUAUUCCAACAUCUUUAUAACAAAAAAUACAUAGGCUAGUUCAGCAGACGCGCUAUUUUACUAAUAAUAAUGAAAUAAAUGCAAGUACACCAAGCCAAGCAAGACACAAGUUUUUGCUAAGUCUAAUAGUAACAGUAGUUCCAGCGGAAAAGUUUCACAUCGACAGUAAUACUAUCUUAUGCAGACAUACAAUAGCUAAAGUAUAUUUCAAGACAAGGACGUCAGAAGAAAAGCAAACGGUAUUGUGCAAAUGCAGGAAGACAGGAGAAAAAUGAGUAAAUGACAGUUGAUACCUUGACUUUCCCUGGGCACAGUUAUGAUAAGAACCGAUUUUGCUUCACUUAGCCAUGCCAGGCCACUCACUGUCAACAAAGGUCAACUG
RNAcentral lists this long non-coding RNA (4772 nucleotides) under Triticum aestivum (bread wheat). RNAcentral's name for it is "long non-coding RNA (TAES_LNC006409)". Lineage: Eukaryota; Viridiplantae; Streptophyta; Magnoliopsida; Poales; Poaceae. The record is from RNAcentral.